RNAcentral lists this ribosomal RNA (522 nucleotides) under uncultured bacterium. Its description in RNAcentral is "bacterial SSU rRNA". It matches the Rfam family "Bacterial small subunit ribosomal RNA", at positions 353 to 871 of the family's 1533-position model. The record is from RNAcentral.
AGUGGGGAAUCUUCCACAAUGGGCGCAAGCCUGAUGGAGCAACGCCGCGUGAAUGAAGAAGGCCUUAGGGUCGUAAAGUUCUGUCCUUAGGGAAGAACCGUGGGUAUAGCAAAUGAUACCCACCUGACGGUACCUUUGGAGGAAGCACUGGCUAACUACGUGCCAGCAGCCGCGGUAAUACGUAGGGGGCUAGCGUUGUCCGGAAUUACUGGGCGUAAAGGGUGAGUAGGUGGUCAUUAAAGUCAGAUGUAAAAGGCAAUGGCUCAACCAUUGUAAGCAUUUGAAACUUAAUGACUUGAGUGCAGGAGAGGUAAAUGGAAUUCCUAGUGUAGCGGUGAAAUGCGUAGAUAUUAGGAAGAACACCAGUGGCGAAGGCGAUUUACUGGACUGUAACUGACACUGAGUCACGAAAGCGUGGGGAGCGAACAGGAUUAGAUACCCUGGUAGUCCACGCUGUAAACGAUGAGUGCUAGGUGUCGGCAAGAGAUUGUCGGUGCCGCAGUUAACGCAUUAAGCACUCCG